GAUGAACGCUGGCGGCGUGCCUAAUACAUGCAAGUCGAGCGAACAGAUGAGGAGCUUGCUCCUCUGACGUUAGCGGCGGACGGGUGAGUAACACGUGGAUAACCUACCUAUAAGACUGGGAUAACUGCGGGAAACCGGAGCUAAUACCGGAUCAUAUAUUGAACCGCAUGGUUCACUAGUGAAAGACGGUUUUGCUGUCACUUAUAGAUGGAUCCGCGCCGCAUUAGCUAGUUGGUAAGGUAACGGCUUAACAAGGCAACGAUGCGUAGCCGACCUGAGAGGGUUAUCGGCCACACUGGAACUGAGACACGGGCCAGACUCCUACGGGAGGCAGCAGUAGGGAAUCUUCCGCGAUGGGCGAAGGCCUGACGGAGCAACGCCGCGUGGGUGAUGAAGGUCUUCGGAUCGUAAAACUCUGUUAUUAGGGAAGAACAAAUGUGUAAGUAACUAUGCACGUCUUGACGGUACCUAAUCAGAAAGCCACGGCUAACUACGUG
This 497-nucleotide ribosomal RNA is filed under the name uncultured bacterium. RNAcentral's name for it is "partial 16S ribosomal RNA". It matches the Rfam family "Bacterial small subunit ribosomal RNA", at positions 28 to 507 of the family's 1533-position model. The record is from RNAcentral.